This is a long non-coding RNA of Bubalus bubalis (water buffalo), 455 nucleotides long. RefSeq lists it as uncharacterized. Lineage: Eukaryota; Metazoa; Chordata; Mammalia; Artiodactyla; Bovidae. The record is from RefSeq and is a predicted model, not a curated record. The transcript is spliced from 2 exons.
ACUAGAGACACUUUAGUCCUGCCUUCCCAGUUCUGCGCCCUGCACAAGCAGUUUUGAAAAAUUAAGUGCAAAAAGCAUGACAAAGCAAUAUGAGGUUGCCGUGUUGCCUUUUAACUUGUCAAGGGCAGGCCAUGGAGAUGACUGGGCCCCCCAAUAUUGGAAUGGACUUGCACAUUCUCUGAUGAGGCAAGGGCAUCCAAGUUUUCUCAUUUGAAGGAUGGGAUGGAAGCAAAAGUACUCCCUUGAAAGGAAUUGUUCUCAUGUUUUGUUGAAGCCACUUCUAACUUUGAUUUAUAUGUGUGUAAAUAUAUAAUUGUAUGUGCUUACAUUUCUCUCAAGAUGUAUUCUGAAAUAAAGUUUUUUAAAGUUGUUAUAAAUGUCCUCUGAUGAGAAACACAUAUAGUAACUUUUUUAACUGAUUAUUUUGCAAUAAAGAUUAAGUAUUUUAUUAGACU